RNAcentral lists this transfer RNA (85 nucleotides) under Felis catus (domestic cat). It matches the Rfam family "tRNA". Rfam says of the family: Transfer RNA (tRNA) molecules are approximately 80 nucleotides in length. Their secondary structure includes four short double-helical elements and three loops (D, anti-codon, and T loops). Lineage: Eukaryota; Metazoa; Chordata; Mammalia; Carnivora; Felidae. The record is from Rfam by way of RNAcentral.
GCCUGGGUGGCUCAGUCGGUUGAGCGUCUGACUUCAGCUCAGGUCACGAUCUCGCAGUUUGUGAGUUCGAGCCCCGCAUCGGGCU